Molecule: ribosomal RNA, 678 nt
Filed under: uncultured eukaryote
Lineage: Eukaryota
Description: SSU rRNA
Rfam family: Eukaryotic small subunit ribosomal RNA
Source: RNAcentral
GCGCAAAUUACCCAAUCCCGACUCGGGGAGGUAGUGACAAUAAAUACUGAUACAGGGCUCUUUUGGGUCUUGUAAUUGGAAUGAGUACAAUUUAAAUCCCUUAACGAGGAACAAUUGGAGGGCAAGUCUGGUGCCAGCAGCCGCGGUAAUUCCAGCUCCAAUAGCGUAUAUUAAAGUUGUUGUGGUUAAAAAGCUCGUAGUUGAACCUUGGGCCUGGCUGGCCGGUCCGCCUCACCGCGUGUACUGGUCCGGCCGGGCCUUUCCCUCUGUGGAACCCCAUGCCCUUCACUGGGUGUGGCGGGGAAACAGGACUUUUACUUUGAAAAAAUUAGAGUGCUCCAGGCAGGCCUAUGCUCGAAUACAUUAGCAUGGAAUAAUAAAAUAGGACGUGUGGUUCUAUUUUGUUGGUUUCUAGGACCGCCGUAAUGAUUAAUAGGGACAGUCGGGGGCAUCAGUAUUCAAUUGUCAGAGGUGAAAUUCUUGGAUUUAUUGAAGACUAACUACUGCGAAAGCAUUUGCCAAGGAUGUUUUCAUUAAUCAGGAACGAAAGUUAGGGGAUCGAAGACGAUCAGAUACCGUCGUAGUCUUAACCAUAAACUAUGCCGACUAGGGAUCGGACGAUGUUAUUAUUUGACUCGUUCGGCACCUUACGAGAAAUCAAAGUGCUUGGGCUCCAGG